Molecule: ribosomal RNA, 497 nt
Filed under: uncultured bacterium
Lineage: Bacteria
Description: partial 16S ribosomal RNA
Rfam family: Bacterial small subunit ribosomal RNA
Source: RNAcentral
GAUGAACGCUGGCGGCGUGCCUAAUACAUGCAAGUCGAGCGAACAGACGAGGAGCUUGCUCCUCUGACGUUAGCGGCGGACGUGUGAGUAACACGUGGAUAACCUCCCUAUAAGACUGGGAUAACUUCGGGAAACCGGCGCUAAUACCGGAUAAUAUAUUGAACCGCAUGGUUCGAUAGUGAAAGACGGUUUUGCUGUCACUUAUAGAUGGUUCCGUGCCGCUUUAGCUAGUUGGUAAGGUAACGGCUUACCAAGGCAACGAUGCGUAGCCGAACUGAGAGGGUGAUCGGCCACACUGGAGCUGGGACACGGUCCAGAAUCCUAAGGGAGGCAGCAGUAGGGAACCUUCCGCAGUGGGCGGAAGCCUGACGGAGCAACGCCGCGUGAGUGAUGAAGAUCUUCGGAUCGUAAAGCUCUGUUAUUAGGGAAGAACAAAUGUGUAAGUAACUAUGCACGUAUUGACGGUACCUAAUGAAAAAGCCCCGGCUAACUACGUG